Molecule: ribosomal RNA, 326 nt
Filed under: fungal sp.
Lineage: Eukaryota; Fungi
Description: eukaryotic LSU rRNA
Rfam family: Eukaryotic large subunit ribosomal RNA
Source: RNAcentral
UCGCAGAGGGUGAGAAUCCCGUACGUGGGCGCCCGUCCCCGCCGUGUAAAGCCCCUUCGACGAGUCGAGUUGUUUGGGAAUGCAGCUCUAAAUGGGAGGUAAAUUUCUUCUAAAGCUAAAUACCGGCCAGAGACCGAUAGCGCACAAGUAGAGUGAUCGAAAGAUGAAAAGUACUUUGGAAAGAGAGUCAAAUAGCACGUGAAAUUGUUGUAGAGGAAGCGCUUGCAGCCAGACGUCCCCGUAGUCGCUCACCCGGUCUCCUGACCGGGGCACUCUUCUGCGGGGAGGCCAGCAUCAGUUUGGGCGGUCGGAGAAAGGCCUCUGUC